This 483-nucleotide ribosomal RNA is filed under the name Palaemon paucidens. RNAcentral describes it as "partial 16S ribosomal RNA". It matches the Rfam family "Bacterial large subunit ribosomal RNA", at positions 1829 to 2568 of the family's 2925-position model. The record is from RNAcentral. Lineage: Eukaryota; Metazoa; Arthropoda; Malacostraca; Decapoda; Palaemonidae.
GUCUAUAUAGAUUCUUAAUAUAAAGUCUAACCUGCCCACUGAGUUAUUAAAGGGCUGCGGUAAUUUGACCGUGCAAAGGUAGCAUAAUCAGUAGUCUCUUAAUUGGGGGCUUGAAUGAACGGUUGGAUGAGAGAGAAGCUGUCUCUCCUGUAAAGUCGAACUUGACUUUUAAGUGAAAAGGCUUAAAUUAGCUAGGGGGACGAUAAGACCCUAUAAAACUUAAUAUAAAUUAUACUCUAUUCUUAAAUUAUAAAUAACCAUAAUAAAGUUUACUUUAUAUUUUGUUGGGGAGAUAUUGACAUAAAUUGUAACUGUCUAAUUUAAAAAAUAUAAUAAUUAUUAUAACACGAUCCUUCACUGAGGAUAAAAAGAAUAAGUUACUUUAGGGAUAACAGCGUAAUUUUUUCUGAGAGUUCUUAUCGAAGAAAGUAGUUGCGACCUCGAUGUUGAAUUAAAAUUUCAGCUAGGUGUAGCCGCUUAGCC